UUCUGUAUGCUCCAUUUCUGAUUCUUGUACUCCAGUUUGUUCUUCUAGCCAUAAGACUGUUGCUUUGCCUUUAAAGGUAAAUAGUUCCAUUUGUAAUAAUAAUACUGAUGCAACUGACAUGAAUUACAUUUGGCAUUUAAGACUGGCUCAUAUUCCAUUUGCAAACAUGAAACACAUUCCUGCUUUAUCAUUUUCUUUUGCUUCCAAACAACCAUUUCCUUGUUCUAUUUGUCCUAUGGGUAGGCAAACCAGACUUCCUUUCCCUGACAGUUCAAUCAGUACAUGUAGACCUUUCCAACUGAUUCAUGUAGAUACUUGGGGCCCUUAUCACACACCCACCUCAUCUGGCUCAAGGUACUUUCUUACUAUAGUUGAUGAUUUUUCUAGAGCAACCUGGACACAUUUACUGGGGUCUAAAAGCAAUGUCCUCUAGCUCAAGGUACUUUCUUACUAUAGUUGAUGAUUUCUCUAGAGCAACCUGGACAUAUUUACGGGGGUCUAAAAGCAAUGCAUUCUGCCUAAUUAAGUCCUUUCUGUGUAUGGUUAAGACUCAGUUUAAUGCUACUGUACAAACUAUAAGAAGUGAAAAUGCUUUGGAAUUGGGGUCUAGUCUUGAUGGUACUUCUUUCUUCAACCAACAUGGCAUUAUUCAUCAAACUACUUGUCCCCACACUCCUCAACAAAAUGGUGUUGUUGAAAGAAAACAUAGAACCCUUCUUGAAGCCUGUAGAGCUUUACUUUUUCAAUCCAAAUUACCCAUCCAUUUUUGGGGGGACUGUUUAUUGACUGCUACAUACUUGCUUAAUAGGAUACCAUCCAGAAUUCUUCACAAGAAAUCCCCUUAUGAAAUAUUGUAUGGGAAGGCACCUACUUAUUCACAUUUAAGGGCAUUUGGUUAUCUUGCCUAUGCUA
This 912-nucleotide long non-coding RNA is filed under the name Nicotiana benthamiana. Its description in RNAcentral is "long non-coding RNA (NBEN_LNC023936)". Lineage: Eukaryota; Viridiplantae; Streptophyta; Magnoliopsida; Solanales; Solanaceae. The record is from RNAcentral.